RNAcentral lists this long non-coding RNA (313 nucleotides) under Gossypium barbadense (sea-island cotton). RNAcentral describes it as "long non-coding RNA (GBAR_LNC021880)". The record is from RNAcentral. Lineage: Eukaryota; Viridiplantae; Streptophyta; Magnoliopsida; Malvales; Malvaceae.
CUUCAAUGGCCAGAAAUGGAGUUACCUAAUGCAAUCCCAAUGUGCUGUUGUAGAUUCUUUAGGCGGUUUUAAACAACUAGCAUUUUAAUAGCAGUAAAAUUCAUUUUAAUGUUGUGGGAUUAGAGGAAGAAGUGAUAGCUACAAGCAUAUCAAUGAAAACUAUGGUGUUAUAAAUUCAUGGUCUAGAUACCAUCCAAACAACUCUUGCAACCCUUCCUAAUUUUUCAUCCUAUGUGUCUUCACCAUCAACUUACAAAAAAUCACGUAUGGGUCAUAAGAUUUCAUGGCUAGAAUCACACUUUCUUUGAAUGGG